Molecule: long non-coding RNA, 248 nt
Organism: Chiroxiphia lanceolata (lance-tailed manakin)
Lineage: Eukaryota; Metazoa; Chordata; Aves; Passeriformes; Pipridae
Exons: 4
Source: RefSeq, a predicted model, not a curated record
UUCAACAGUCCGACGCUCGAUGACUGGUAGGAUGAAGACCAGUGUUAGAGGGGUCCUGCCUCUAGCCAGGUAGAGGUACGGGACAACCGUGUCUAUUGGACUGUGUGGAUCAGAUGACCUGGCACGUCAGACCCACAGAAAUACCAGGCUUUGGUUGAUACUGGCGCUCAGUGUACGUUAAUGCCCUCGGGACAUGUGGGACCAGAGACUAUUUCCAUUUCUGGGGUGACUGGAGGGUCUCAAGAGUU